GACGUAGGGCGCGAGCGUUGUCCGGAAUUAUUGGGCGUAAAGAGCUCGUAGGCGGUCUGUCGCGUCUGGUGUGAAAACUCAAGGCUUAACCUUGGGCCUGCAUCGGGUACGGGCAGACUAGAGUGCGGUAGGGGAGACUGGAAUUCCUGGUGUAGCGGUGAAAUGCGCAGAUAUCAGGAGGAACACCGGUGGCGAAGGCGGGUCUCUGGGCCGUAACUGACGCUGAGGAGCGAAGGCAUGGGGAGCGAACAGG
This 253-nucleotide ribosomal RNA is filed under the name uncultured bacterium. Its description in RNAcentral is "partial 16S ribosomal RNA". It matches the Rfam family "Bacterial small subunit ribosomal RNA", at positions 524 to 776 of the family's 1533-position model. The record is from RNAcentral.